RNAcentral lists this RNase P RNA (376 nucleotides) under Histidinibacterium aquaticum. RNAcentral's name for it is "Bacterial RNase P class A". It matches the Rfam family "Bacterial RNase P class A". From Rfam's summary of the family: Ribonuclease P (RNase P) is a ubiquitous endoribonuclease, found in archaea, bacteria and eukarya as well as chloroplasts and mitochondria. Lineage: Bacteria; Pseudomonadati; Pseudomonadota; Alphaproteobacteria; Rhodobacterales; Paracoccaceae. The record is from Rfam by way of RNAcentral.
GCGGAUGGCCGGAUGGCCGCUUCGCUCCUCCGGGAGCGGGGAGGAAAGUCCGGACUCCAUGAAGGCACGGUGCCGGGUAACGCCCGGCGGGGGAAACCCCAGGGAGAGCGCCACAGAGAACAGUCCGCCCCGCAGGCCGGGGUCAGGGUGAAACGGUGGGGUAAGAGCCCACCGGGGACCGGGCAACCGGGACCGCAUGGCAAGCCCCACCGGGAGCAAUGCCGAAUAGGGGCCUCGCGCCGGAAGGCAGGGGAGCCUGACCCGAGAGGCCCGGGUUGGCAGCUGGAGGCGGUCCGGUAACGGGCCGUCCAGAGGAAUGGUCAUCGAACCGGGCACGCCCGGGGAACAGAAUCCGGCUUACAGGCCGUCCGCGCGC